This 450-nucleotide ribosomal RNA is filed under the name uncultured bacterium. RNAcentral's name for it is "partial 16S ribosomal RNA". It matches the Rfam family "Bacterial small subunit ribosomal RNA", at positions 354 to 796 of the family's 1533-position model. The record is from RNAcentral.
GUGGGGAAUUUUGGACAAUGGGCGCAAGCCUGAUCCAGCAAUGCCGCGUGCAGGAAGAAGGCCUUCGGGUUGUAAACUGCUUUUGUACGGAACGAAACGGUCCGGGUUAAUACCCUGGGCUAAUGAUGGUACCGUAAGAAUAAGCACCGGCUAACUACGUGCCAGCAGCCGCGGUAAUACGUAGGGUGCAAGCGUUAAUCGGAAUUACUGGGCGUAAAGCGUGCGCAGGCGGUUUUGUAAGACAGGCGUGAAAUCCCCGGGCUCAACCUGGGAAUUGCGCUUGUGACUGCAAGGCUGGAGUGCGGCAGAGGGGGAUGGAAUUCCGCGUGUAGCAGUGAAAUGCGUAGAUAUGCGGAGGAACACCGAUGGCGAAGGCAAUCCCCUGGGCCUGCACUGACGCUCAUGCACGAAAGCGUGGGGAGCAAACAGGAUUAGAUACCCUAGUAGUCC